CUUGAUCAGCGUAGUAUUUGAUGGUAAAGAAACAAAAUGGUUCUCGACAGUACGCACAUGGCUCAAGAUGCUUCACGUGAUAUUAAAUUAAAAAGUACAGACAAAAUGAAUUCAACAAUUUUUGAUAGUUUUGCGAAAAUUAUAAAUAAACAGGAUGCAGUGAGACGUGAUGGUGGACUUGCGUUAUUAAAACAUUUGCACGAACAUCCUUCUGAUGUAAAUGACAACAAAGAAUUCAAAUAUGCUAUUACGAGAUUAAUACGUGGAUUGGGAUCCUCGAAAUUAUAUGCCAGAAAGGGUUUUUAUAGUACGCUAACAACUUUUUUAAUUACACAUCCUGAUGUUUCAAUAGACACAAUUUUAACUAAAAUGGAUACAGAAUUACAACCAACAAACAGCAAUGCUAAAAGUGAAAAAGCUGACAUAUAUAUGGGUCGUAUAUUAACUUGUGGUGCAUUGAUACGAUCAAAAUUACUUUUGAAUAGUACAACUGAUACUCAAUCAAAAGUAGUGGAAAUACUUCUAAAUGCUGGGAAUCAACGUAGCUAUUUAUCUUUCGUUUCCAUUUCAUUUUUAAUGGAAUUUAUAAAUCAACUUAACACAGACUCUGUCAAAACAUCUAUUUGGCCAUUAAUGGAAAAAGAGUUUGGCAAGCCUUGGGCAGAACAAACUUUAGAUUUAUUUUACGCUUUGUUGGUUAUCAGAGAUAAAUUUCCAGCGCUUAUGAAUCAAGAUUUUUUAAAAAAAUAUUUAUCUUCCAAUGAUAUCAUCACGAAGGAAAACAUAAACAAUAUAGUGAAUAUAUUAACAGAUUUACCCAGGAUAAAAUCUUGCCAUCAUCCAGUAUUCGUUUUAUUUUGUGAAAAAUUGGCAGCGACUGAUUUAGUAACCGACUUCUGGUUAGCCAUAGACAGUAAAUUUAAAAAGCCAUCUAAAACACAUGAGCACGUUGCUAUUGAAAUUUUAAAACAUUUACUUGUACAUUUAAAUGACAAAACAGUGUUUCCAUCCUUGUUAUCUACAGAUUUCUUGCAACAUAUGUUAAAAAAAUGUUCUAUUUUAAAGAGAAAUAAGAACGAUGAAGUUGUUGUAGCAUUUAAGGAUUUAUUAAAUUUGUUAAUAACAAGCGUUAAAGAUACUAAAACAAAAAUACAAAUAAAUGUAUUAAAAAAACUGAUCCUGUAUCCUGGUGAUCUAAUGAUAGAAAAAAAAACAGGUGUCAAAAUAAUCCAACUGAUCACAGGCGAUUUAAAUGCAGAUGGAGUUAAAAAGUUAUCAAAUCUCUAUAGAAGCAUUAUAGAGAAUACAAUUCCUAAAGAAAGAGAAUGUUCACAAACAGAAAGCUGGACAAAUGCUGAAAGAAUCUAUGCUGUUCAAUUACUAACGAGAUUAAUAACUCAUCCAGCAAUACUAUCAGAUCAAGAAUGGAAGUUGAAUCAAUUAAAGUUCUUGUUUCUGUUUGGUUUCUGCGAAGUUCCACAAGUUGGUGUAGAACUUGUUCCACAUUUCAAAGAUAGUUUUUACCGUGCUUUGGAUCAUAAGAUGCCUAAAUUGAAUGAUUUACGAAAUAUGUUAAGCGCAUUAGUUCAUUAUUUAAAUACAGAAUUAAGUUCUGAGAAUAUUAAAUUACGGGUACCAUUGAGCGAGGAAUCAGAAGCAGCAUGGAAAAAAGCGAUUCGUUUGAUAGAAAAAUUAGAGAAUAAUCCCAAUGCAAAAGCUAUACCCAUAUUUCAUACCAUAUGUUUACACAUGGGAUUACAACUCUUCUCGGAUCCGGAAGUAGCAGUUAUGUCUAUCAACGAAUUGCAAAGUUGUUACGAUCGAGUUAAAAAGAAAUCUAAAUUAAAUAAUAAUACAAAAUUAAAAGAUGAACCAGAAUGGGUAGAAGUUGUGAUAGAUCUUUUGUUAUCUCUUUUAUCUAAAAAUAGUCAUUUGAUGCGUUCAUUGGUUACUUGCGUUUUUCCACAUAUUUGCCCGUACAUAGUCUCGAUGUCUCAGAUAUUAUCCGUCUUGGAUAUCAAAAAAGAGAUCAAUCCAUUGUCUAUGAACGGUGACGAUAAUGAAGAAUCUUCAGGUUCUGACGAGGAUGACGAAAACGAUGAGAAUAAUGUUGAGGAACAUAAUGCAGAAGUUACAACCGAUUCCUCAGAAGAAAGUGACAUGGAUUGCGAUAAAGAAGACGAAGAUGAAGAUGAAACUGUUACAGAUAUGUUACGUGUUGCUGUGAGUCAAGCAUUAGGAGGUACUAACCCUGAUAAUAACGACGAAGAUAUGGACGUAGAUAAAAUUGACGAAGCUGAGGGUAAACGAUUGGAUGAGUCAUUAGCGGCAGCAUUUAAAAUUCUUCGUCAAAAUCGUCGUGGACAAUCGAAGAAACAAGAAAAAUCAGCACAAACGUUAACACAUUUUAGAGCUAGAGUUACAGAUUUGUUAGAAAUUUAUUUAGAUUGCAACCCAGCAAUGGCUGUUGUAUUAGAUAUGCUUGUUCCACUUUUUGCUUUAUUAGAAUUUUGUAUAAAGGAUCCACAUCAAAAACCUUUAGAGAAUCGAGUACGAGCUUGUUUAAAGAAAUUAUCGACUAUUAAAAAAUUCAGAGAUACAGAGGGAGUCGAUAAUGAAUUAUUAACAAUCAUUUUGAAGACUUUAAUUGAAAAAGGAGAACGUUCUGCUUCUGUUUGUCAAGAAAUGGGAGACAAAUUAGCUGAAUGUUGCGCUUUCCUAAUACGCUGUGUGCAAUAUGUAGGAUUGCUUGAUGAUACUUUUGUAGACAUUUAUAAAACUAACUUAACAGCUUUUUUCAAGAAAAGAGAUUGCAUUUUGCCAGGUAUUCUUUUCAAAAGUCUGUUACAACAAUCGUGGGAAGGAAAUUGGCAGCUAAUACCAUUAUUAGUGGAAUAUGCAUUUGAUUUGAACACGAUCAGAUCAUUUCGUAGAGGCCAAGCCUUAGAAUUUUUAAUUAUUUUCUAUAAAAAUAAUAGAUUAAUUCGUUCUGAGUCUACGAAGAACAAGAAUAGAAUUAAAAUGGAAAAGAAAUUAUGUGAAAACAGUAUAAAUCUAUUACAAGAUCUAUGUAACGUGAAUGAAUGUAAAGAUGAACAAUUAACUUCAGAUGAAAAUUGUAGUAUUAAAAUUAAUCAGAAAUUUGUAUAUCUGUUCCUUACUCUAUUACACACAAUUCAUGGACAACAUUUACAAGAAAUUUGGAAAUGGGAAACUAUCAAGGAAAAAUUAAUCAGAUACAGGACUAAAGCUGUACUUUCUAAAGAUGCAAGAAGUGCAUACAAUAGAUUAGCACAACUAAUUGGGUUAUCUCUUAAUUGUCCUGCGAAGAAACAAGAAACUGAUUUAAGUCCCAAAGUUAAUGGACAGAUUUCUAAUGUAAAGGAAAAAGAUGAAAAAGAACAAGAAGAACAAAAAAAGGAAGCUGUUAUAGAGAUUGACGAUGAGGAAAAUAGUACAGAAAUAAACAAAGCAAAAUUAAAGAAGAAAAAGAAAAAUAAGAGUAAACAAAAAGAGAAGCAAUUGUUGAAAAAAGAAUCACGUGAAUUACGUCUACAGACAAUGUCCGAAGGUUUAGAUGCAUUUCAAUUCAGUAGCUCCGUAAAUCUUCCAAAUGAGAUUAAUGAGACCGAUAGCAUACAAAAUGAUUUACCUGUGGUGGAAACAAAUGGUAUUUCUAAACAUAAAAGAUUACCUACAGAUAAUCUAGAUGAUUUUAAUAUACCAAAAAGAAAAAAGAAAUCAAAAAAUUGAUUGAUUAUAAGCGUGUAAUAAAUAUGAAAUUGAAAACUAUACUAUAAGAAAAUGUGUGACUGUAUGGCAUUUAAUAAUUUAAAUGCUUAAGCUAUCCAAACGUAUGCAAUGUGACUUCAGAGAUAGACGUGGAAAAAAAUGAACUAGAAAUGCCUGGCGAUUGUACUCAUCCUUACUUGUUAAGAAGUCGUAUUCUUUAUCCGAUUUUAGAGAGAGAGAGAGAAAGAUAAAAGUUUUAUACAUACGAGCUAAUUACAGAAUAUUAUCAAAGUAGGUGUUUAGUUACAUACAAAUUAUUCUAGAAUAUUACCUAUUUUUAGACACGAUUUUUGUAAAGAAAAUAAAAUUUCUUCGAAAGUA
This 4113-nucleotide unclassified non-coding RNA is filed under the name Polistes canadensis. Its description in RNAcentral is "myb-binding protein 1A-like protein, transcript variant X3". The record is from RNAcentral. Lineage: Eukaryota; Metazoa; Arthropoda; Insecta; Hymenoptera; Vespidae.